GUCUAUGGCCGUGCUACCCUGAACAAGCCUGAUCCCAUCUGAUCUCGGAAGCUAAGCGGGAUCGGGCCUGGUUAGUACUUGGAUGAGAGACCACCUAGGAAGACCAGGUGCUGUAGGCG
This 119-nucleotide ribosomal RNA is filed under the name Pteropus alecto (black flying fox). Lineage: Eukaryota; Metazoa; Chordata; Mammalia; Chiroptera; Pteropodidae. The record is from RNAcentral.